Molecule: long non-coding RNA, 1815 nt
Filed under: Salvia miltiorrhiza (redroot sage)
Lineage: Eukaryota; Viridiplantae; Streptophyta; Magnoliopsida; Lamiales; Lamiaceae
Description: long non-coding RNA (SMIL_LNC004524)
Source: RNAcentral
UCGCAUUUUUCUCAUACGUUAUAAAGUAUAAAUCUAAAAUAAUAACUCCGUUUCUGAUAAAAAAAAUAAAUCAGGACCAUAAACUGGAUUCAUUUAUAAAAAUUUUUGCAUUUACUAGUUUUAAUCAUAAUUAAAAGAGCGGGCUACUACAUUUUCUUUAUUAUGUAUGAAAAGGUUAAAUUUGUAUAUAGUCUAUUUAAUGAUAACUGUAAAAUCAUCUCUUCAAGAUAUGGAAAGAUUUGUUUUUCUCAUAUAUUUUCGAUUUUUAUCUGUACAAUAUUUUAAUUUAGAUGUUCGUAAUUUUUUUAGGCUUGUUUGAAAAGUUCUACGUUAAAUAUUUUAUGUUAGAUGUUUGUAAUUUUUUUAUGCUUGCUCGAAUUGUUUUAUGUUAAACAUUUUAUGUCAACAAGAAUAAUUCAAAUAUUUAUUUCGAUGUUCGUAAAUUUUUAAUGCUUGUUCAAAAUAUUUUAUGUUAAAUAUUUUUACAAUUCUGAAUCAUAUAUCAAUAAUAUUAUUCAGGAAUAUAAUACUUAAUAAAUACUCACAAAUUUUCAAUGAACGGAGUAUAAUUUUUUUACGAACAAAACAUAAUUUCUAAAUGAACAAAUUAUAUUCAAAUUUUCUAAAAACUAAUAUAUUCUGAAUUGACCUUUCCUUACCGUUCCCUUUCUUCAAUUGAUCUCAUUCUGCAACUAAUUCCCCAAAAUUCCAUGGAAGAGGACUCGCCGAUUAAGAUGAGAAGAAUGGCAACUAAUUCUGCAAUUGAUCUCAUUCAUGGAAGAGGAUUUCCCCAAAAUUCUGAAAUUUCAGAUAUGAAAUUUUAGGGUGUGUGUUGAUGGGGGAAGAGUCGAGUGAGUCAGGGACUAAAGAGGUUGAAGGAGGACGUGGCGAUGGCGUGGCUGGUUGGGGGCUCCGGCGAGUAGUUAGGCUGGAGAUCCGAGACGGCGACGAUGUAUCGAGAUCUUGGUUGUACGAUUUGUAAUUCAGGGGUAGGNUGUGUGUUGAUGGGGGAAGAGUCGAGUGAGUCAGGGACUAAAGAGGUUGAAGGAGGACGUGGCGAUGGCGUGGCUGGUUGGGGGCUCCGGCGAGUAGUUAGGCUGGAGAUCCGAGACGGCGACGAUGUAUCGAGAUCUUGGUUGUACGAUUUGUAAUUCAGGGGAGAGGAGAGGGAGCGACUCAGGGAGAAUCAGAGGUGGUGGUGGUGGUGGUAAGUUGCAGCGGCGGUGAUGGCAUGGUUGGUUGGGGGAUCCGGCGAGUAGUCGGGCCGGACGUCUGGGACUACGACGAGGUUUCAAGAUCUUGAUUGUUCGGUCUAAAAUUCACGGGGGAAGAGAGAGGGCGAAUCAGAGGUGGUGGUGGGGGUGGUAAGUCGCGGCGGCGGAAGGAGAAGGGAACGGCAGCGCUUCUCGUCGCUCUCCGUUGGAAUAGAAAGGGAGAUGGGGUUGUUGAUGGUGAGAAUCGUGACGGCGACGACGGUCCUAAUGGCCACUGGCGGUUCAGCGAGGGGGAAGAAAUGAUGUGCAGUGGACCAGUGGUGGCGGCUGUGGCGGAAGAAGGGGAUGGAGAUUUGAUGCUCCAAAAUCUGUAAAUGGCAAUAAAUUUUAGCUGAUUUUUUUUUUUUNUUUACCUAUCAAUUAAAAAUAAUGGUGCGAUUUUUUCUAAAUUAAUUUUGGAUCUGAAAAGUCAUUUAAUGAUAACUGCAAGAUUAAGUGGUUUUAAUGGUAGAGAUUAAUUCUUUAAUCUCUAUACUUAGGGUCAUUCUCCAUUGAACCACAUCCUAUAUAUAUUUAUAUUUAUCUUUUUGACGUAAACGAC